AGCGGGUUAGUGUAAUGGGAACACAUGAGUCUCCUUAGCUCAAACUGGCGGUUCGAUUCCGUCACCCGCAACCA
This 74-nucleotide transfer RNA is filed under the name Caudoviricetes sp. RNAcentral describes it as "tRNA-Arg". It matches the Rfam family "tRNA". Rfam says of the family: Transfer RNA (tRNA) molecules are approximately 80 nucleotides in length. Their secondary structure includes four short double-helical elements and three loops (D, anti-codon, and T loops). Further hydrogen bonds mediate the characteristic L-shaped molecular structure. tRNAs have two regions of fundamental functional importance: the anti-codon, which is responsible for specific mRNA codon recognition, and the 3' end, to which the tRNAs corresponding amino acid is attached (by aminoacyl-tRNA synthetases). tRNAs cope with the degeneracy of the genetic code in two manners: having more than one tRNA (with a specific anti-codon) for a particular amino acid; and 'wobble' base-pairing, i.e. permitting non-standard base-pairing at the 3rd anti-codon position. Lineage: Duplodnaviria; Heunggongvirae; Uroviricota; Caudoviricetes. The record is from RNAcentral.